RNAcentral lists this non-coding RNA (26 nucleotides) under Rattus norvegicus (Norway rat). Lineage: Eukaryota; Metazoa; Chordata; Mammalia; Rodentia; Muridae. The record is from RNAcentral.
UCAGAGAGGGCCUGGCUACGAUUGGA